GUCAAUUGUUAUUAUUCAUAUUAAUUUUUUUAACAGUUUUAAUUUUUUAUUUUAGUUGAUUUUUAAAUUAUUAUUAAGUCAAAUUUUAGGAGUAGUUAAUAUUAAUUUAUAACUCUGAUUAGAUUGUUUUGUUAAUGCUAUAAUAUAGGUGUGGAAAAAGUGUAAAAUAUAGUAAAUAAAAAAUAAUAAAUAAAAUUAAAUUAUAUGUCAGAAAUGGAUGCCAGCCGUUGCGGUAAUAUCUAUGCUUUUAAAUAUUAUACAGUCAUUUUAUUAAUUUGUUACUCACUAUUUUAGUCAAAAAAAGAAAAAUAUAGUUAUUUGUUUUUAAACACCGUUAUGGUACAUGCAAAUACAAAGUUACAGUAAUUAUUAAUUCUAUUAAUUUAUAUUUAUUCAAAUAGAAUCAAGAACAAAAUUGCAUUUUUUUGACACCAUGAUAAGGCUAAAGAAUGAAAUUGUAAAUUUUAUAUUCAAAAUUAAUUAAUUAUAUUAAGCAUGCAAACCUAGAUAAAACAAAAAAUCUACAAGGUAUUGUUGCCCACCAAUUUUUAUAAUAAAGAUAACGUGCAGUAAUUAAUAUAUUUAUAAAAAUAUAUU
RNAcentral lists this ribosomal RNA (597 nucleotides) under Angomonas deanei. RNAcentral's name for it is "9S ribosomal RNA". It matches the Rfam family "Trypanosomatid mitochondrial small subunit ribosomal RNA". Lineage: Eukaryota; Euglenozoa; Kinetoplastea; Trypanosomatida; Trypanosomatidae. The record is from RNAcentral.